GAUUGAACGCUGGCGGCAGGCCUAACACAUGCAAGUCGAGCGGUAGCACAGAGAGCUUGCUCUCGGGUGACGAGCGGCGGACGGGUGAGUAAUGUCUGGGAAACUGCCUGAUGGAGGGGGACAACUACUGGAAACGGUAGCUAAUACCGCAUAAUGUCGCAAGACCAAAGUGGGGGACCUUCGGGCCUCAUGCCAUCAGAUGUGCCCAGAUGGGAUUAGCUAGUAGGUGGGGUAACGGCUCACCUAGGCGACGAUCCCUAGCUGGUCUGAGAGGAUGACCAGCCACACUGGAACUGAGACACGGUCCAGACUCCUACGGGAGGCAGCAGUGGGGAAUAUUGCACAAUGGGCGCAAGCCUGAUGCAGCCAUGCCGCGUGUGUGAAGAAGGCCUUCGGGUUGUAAAGCACUUUCAGCGGGGAGGAAGGCGGUGAGGUUAAUAACCUCAUCGAUUGACGUUACCCGCAGAAGAAGCACCGGCUAACUCCGUGCCAGCAGCCGCGGUAAUACGGAGGGUGCAAGCGUUAAUCGGAAUUACUGGGCGUAAAGCGCACGCAGGCGGUCUGUCAAGUCGGAUGUGAAAUCCCCGGGCUCAACCUGGGAACUGCAUUCGAAACUGGCAGGCUAGAGUCUUGUAGAGGGGGGUAGAAUUCCAGGUGUAGCGGUGAAAUGCGUAGAGAUCUGGAGGAAUACCGGUGGCGAAGGCGGCCCCCUGGACAAAGACUGACGCUCAGGUGCGAAAGCGUGGGGAGCAAACAGGAUUAGAUACCCUGGUAGUCCACGCCGUAAACGAUGUCGAUUUGGAGGUUGUGCCCUUGAGGCGUGGCUUCCGGAGCUAACGCGUUAAAUCGACCGCCUGGGGAGUACGGCCGCAAGGUUAAAACUCAAAUGAAUUGACGGGGGCCCGCACAAGCGGUGGAGCAUGUGGUUUAAUUCGAUGCAACGCGAAGAACCUUACCUGGUCUUGACAUCCACAGAACUUUCCAGAGAUGGAUUGGUGCCUUCGGGAACUGUGAGACAGGUGCUGCAUGGCUGUCGUCAGCUCGUGUUGUGAAAUGUUGGGUUAAGUCCCGCAACGAGCGCAACCCUUAUCCUUUGUUGCCAGCGGUCCGGCCGGGAACUCAAAGGAGACUGCCAGUGAUAAACUGGAGGAAGGUGGGGAUGACGUCAAGUCAUCAUGGCCCUUACGACCAGGGCUACACACGUGCUACAAUGGCAUAUACAAAGAGAAGCGACCUCGCGAGAGCAAGCGGACCUCAUAAAGUAUGUCGUAGUCCGGAUUGGAGUCUGCAACUCGACUCCAUGAAGUCGGAAUCGCUAGUAAUCGUAGAUCAGAAUGCUACGGUGAAUACGUUCCCGGGCCUUGUACACACCGCCCGUCACACCAUGGGAGUGGGUUGCAAAAGAAGUAGGUAGCUUAACCUUCGGGAGGGCGCUUACCACUUUGUGAUUCAUGACUGGGGUGAAGUCGUAACAAGG
RNAcentral lists this ribosomal RNA (1477 nucleotides) under uncultured bacterium. RNAcentral describes it as "bacterial SSU rRNA". It matches the Rfam family "Bacterial small subunit ribosomal RNA". The record is from RNAcentral.